RNAcentral lists this transfer RNA (68 nucleotides) under Neptis speyeri. RNAcentral's name for it is "tRNA-Val". The record is from RNAcentral. Lineage: Eukaryota; Metazoa; Arthropoda; Insecta; Lepidoptera; Nymphalidae.
CAAAUUAGAGCUUGAUUUAAGUAUUUCAUUUACAUUGAAAAGAAAUUAAAAUUAUUUAAUUGAUUUGA